GUUGACCUCGGAUCAGGUAGGGAUACCCGCUGAACUUAAGCAUAUCAAUAAGCGGAGGAAAAGAAACCAACAGGGAUUGCCCUAGUAACGGCGAGUGAAGCGGCAACAGCUCAAAUUUGAAAUCUGGCGCAAGCCCGAGUUGUAAUUUGUAGAGGAUGCUUCUGGGUAGCGGCC
RNAcentral lists this ribosomal RNA (174 nucleotides) under Pseudocercospora bixae. Its description in RNAcentral is "partial 28S ribosomal RNA". It matches the Rfam family "Eukaryotic large subunit ribosomal RNA", at positions 1 to 177 of the family's 3401-position model. Lineage: Eukaryota; Fungi; Ascomycota; Dothideomycetes; Mycosphaerellales; Mycosphaerellaceae. The record is from RNAcentral.